Molecule: non-coding RNA, 111 nt
Organism: Acanthosepion pharaonis
Lineage: Eukaryota; Metazoa; Mollusca; Cephalopoda; Sepiida; Sepiidae
Source: the annotation of a GenBank genome assembly
UACGGCCUUAUUAUGUUGAAACUCCUGUUCCGGUACGAUCCAAGUUAAGCAACGUUGAGUCUGCUCAGUACCUAGAUGGAUAACCGCUUGGGAAUACCAGGUGCUGUAAGC